GACGAACGCUGGCGGCGUGCCUAACACAUGCAAGUCGAACGGAAAGGCCAUGAUUUUGUGGGCUGCUCGAUUGGCGAACGCGUGCGUAACACGUGAGUAUCCUGCUCUUGACUUUCGGAGAAGAUCAGGUAACUGGGGUUACUAUCGGACAGGAUCUCCUGUUGCAUGGAGGGGAUUGGAUCGUCUCGGCGGUUGGGGUUGGACUCGCGGCUUAUCAGCUUGUUGGUGGGGUAGUGGCUUACCAAGGCUUUGACGGGUAGCCGGCCUGAGAGGGUGACCGGCCACAUUGGGACUGAGAUACGGCCCAGACUCCUACGGGAGGCAGCAGUGGGGAAUAUUGCACAAUGGGCGGAAGCCUGAGGCAGCAACGCCGCGUGCGGGAUGACGGCCUUCGGGUUGUAAACCGCUUUCGCCUGUGACGAAGCGUGAGUGACGGUAAUGGGUAAAGAAGCACCGGCUAACUACGUG
RNAcentral lists this ribosomal RNA (468 nucleotides) under uncultured bacterium. RNAcentral describes it as "partial 16S ribosomal RNA". It matches the Rfam family "Bacterial small subunit ribosomal RNA", at positions 28 to 507 of the family's 1533-position model. The record is from RNAcentral.